CAGAUGCCUUCCAGCUGCUGGCUGGUCCCCAGGACCCCACUGCCACUGAGAGCUGACAAGUGGUCGAGUGCACGCAAGUAUGUGCAGCUCGGAGAGGUGCAGUGACGUGCCUGAGGUCUACGGCCCCAAAUGGCAGAUGAGGGGCUCAAUUCCAGGCUUGUCUGUGGGGUGCCCUCCCUGGACACAGGGGCUGCCAACCCUGUGUGAAUGUGAGCCUCAUGAAGGAGACAGGUGAGAAGCCUGAGCGCUGGUGGCUGUAAGCUGCUAAACUGUAAAUACAGAUAAUGUCGAAA
This 293-nucleotide non-coding RNA is filed under the name Pan troglodytes (chimpanzee). Lineage: Eukaryota; Metazoa; Chordata; Mammalia; Primates; Hominidae. The record is from RNAcentral.